GAUGAACGCUGGCGGCGUGCCUAAUACAUGCAAGUCGAGCGAACAGACGAGGAGCUUGCUUCUCUGAUGUUAGCGGCGGACGGGUGAGUAACACGUGGAUAACCUACCUAUAAGACUGGGAUAACUUCGGGAAACCGGAGCUAAUACCGGAUAAUAUUUUGAACCGCAUGGUUCAAAAGUGAAAGACGGUUUUGCUGUCACUUAUAGAUGGAUCCGCGCUGCAUUAGCUAGUUGGUAAGGUAACGGCUUACCAAGGCAACGAUGCAUAGCCGACCUGAGAGGGUGAUCGGCCACACUGGAACUGAGACACGGUCCAGACUCCUACGGGAGGCAGCAGUAGGGAAUCUUCCGCAAUGGGCGAAAGCCUGACGGAGCAACGCCGCGUGAGUGAUGAAGGUCUUCGGAUCGUAAAACUCUGUUAUUAGGGAAGAACAUAUGUGUAAGUAACUGUGCACGUCUUGACGGUACCUAAUCAGAAAGCCACGGCUAACUACGUG
Molecule: ribosomal RNA, 497 nt
Filed under: uncultured bacterium
Lineage: Bacteria
Description: partial 16S ribosomal RNA
Rfam family: Bacterial small subunit ribosomal RNA
Source: RNAcentral